This 713-nucleotide long non-coding RNA is filed under the name Ananas comosus (pineapple). Its description in RNAcentral is "long non-coding RNA (ACOM_LNC008396)". Lineage: Eukaryota; Viridiplantae; Streptophyta; Magnoliopsida; Poales; Bromeliaceae. The record is from RNAcentral.
GUCAUUUUUCAUAAUAUAUAUAAGGUUAUUUUAUAGGGUUUCUAUUUUUUUAUUAUAAUUUUGUUAAUCUUAAAAUUUUAGUAGUUAUAUAUUUUAAUUGAUUAAAAUACUAGCUCUCUACGGCGAAGCUCAUAUCUUUAGCUGAAAAUGUGAAUCAAUUAGGAUUCGAACUAGGAUCUCGGCUCACCUUUCUUGUUGAUAGUAUUUGUUGGUGGUAGAAAACAAUUGAAUAAAAAAAAGAAGAAGAAACCUUCAGUUUCAAAACAAAAGGGGUAAAUUACUAAAACCUACCCCACUUUAGCAUGCAUCUUAAUUAUCUUCUAGGGUAAACUUCAAUGCCAUUUAUGUAGUUUCACACUUUUUUACUUUAGUAUCAUGUGGUUUAAAGUGUAUCAAUUUAAUAUCCUAUGAUUUUAUUUUUCUCUUUUUGUCCGCUCAUCUAUUAGCUUUUCGAUAAAUUAUAUACAAAAAACUUCAGAUAUUCUACCUAUAGUUUAUCGAAUAUUCACUUUGGUAUCCUUUAGUUUUAACUUGUUUGUAUCAUAAUUUAUAUCUAAAUUCAAGAGAAAAAAACUUACGCGGGGAGCCUCCCACUGAAGCUUCGUCAAAGAGCCCUAAUCCGCUAUCAUAUGUCAAUUUUUUUUUCUAUCAAAUGAUUAUAAUACUUCCUUUUAGAAUUUUACUUUUUUUAUUUUAGAUUUUAGUAUCAAAAA